UUCUCUCUCCUCACUCUCUCUUCUUCCUCGCGACAUCUCCCCCCCCUCUGGUUUUCCAGCCGACAUCACCCCUCCUCCCAGCCACCACCAGCGACGCCGGCCAGCCCAGAUCAGACUGGCGACUCCCCAGCCUCCUUGCUCGACGUCCUCCCCCGCCGCCUGCCGCCACGAAUCGCUGGAGAGAACCAGAAAAUCGCGGCAGAUUUUCUCCGAUUUUCAAAUCCCUCAAACUCCCUCCUCCGGCCACCAAAUCGGACGAAUUAGGCACCCGGGCACCAGGCGACCCGCAGGAGGGACCUUCAAAGGGU
This is a non-coding RNA of Prunus avium (sweet cherry), 308 nucleotides long. Lineage: Eukaryota; Viridiplantae; Streptophyta; Magnoliopsida; Rosales; Rosaceae. The record is from RefSeq and is a predicted model, not a curated record.